AGUGAACGCUGGCGGUAGGCCUAACACAUGCAAGUCGAACGGCAGCACAGUAAGAGCUUGCUCUUACGGGUGGCGAGUGGCGGACGGGUGAGGAAUACAUCGGAAUCUACUUUUUCGUGGGGGAUAACGUAGGGAGACUUACGCUAAUACCGCAUACGACCUACGGGUGAAAGCAGGGGAUCUUCGGACCUUGCGCGAUUGAAUGAGCCGAUGUCGGAUUAGCUAGUUGGCGGGGUAAAGGCCCACCAAGGCGACGAUCCGUAGCUGGUCUGAGAGGAUGAUCAGCCACACUGGAACUGAGACACGGUCCAGACUCCUACGAGAGGCAGCAGUGGGGAAUAUUGGACAAUGGGCGCAAGCCUGAUCCAGCCAUACCGCGUGGGUGAAGAAGGCCUUCGGGUUGUAAAGCCCUUUUGUUGGGAAAGAAAAGCAGCAGGUUAAUACCCCGCUGUUCUGACGGUACCCAAAGAAUAAGCACCGGCUAACUUCGUG
This 492-nucleotide ribosomal RNA is filed under the name uncultured bacterium. RNAcentral describes it as "partial 16S ribosomal RNA". It matches the Rfam family "Bacterial small subunit ribosomal RNA", at positions 29 to 507 of the family's 1533-position model. The record is from RNAcentral.